RNAcentral lists this unclassified non-coding RNA (2202 nucleotides) under Hevea brasiliensis (rubber tree). Lineage: Eukaryota; Viridiplantae; Streptophyta; Magnoliopsida; Malpighiales; Euphorbiaceae. The record is from RNAcentral.
AUGACAUGAGCCUCAUUUUUAAGUUUGUCAAUCAAUUCAUCCACCGAAGAAACAAUAACCCCAGCUUUUCUCUUGGGAGGUUCCGUGACUUCAAUGACCUCUAAAUCAGAUUUAAUUUCCACAUUCAACUCCUGUGGUGUGUACUUUUUGAUGACCUUGGAUUUUGCCUUCAUGAUGUUUGGCAGUGUUGCAUACCUUGGUUGGUUCAGUCUCAAAUCAGUGCUGCAUAAGAAGAGUCAGAACUAGAAGCCAUCAGAACAAGAGAAGACAUCCAGUUGAAACACAAGCCAAAAAUUUGGUAUUAGUGCACAAUAUUUUAGUAGCAUGCACCCACUGGCAUAAUCUUUUAGCUUGCUUGAUGCAACAUAAGCUAGCAAAAAAAUCAAACAAAAAUACUUUUUUUCAGGUUAUAUUAACCACUUAUUUAUCCUGGAAAUGUUGUGUAUGCUAAGAAUUUUUUUAGUACUUUAUUUAAUAGUUCAAGUAGUUGUAUUUAUUGGAUAAUACAAUAAGUUCCAUGGUGGCAUUACAGUUGUAAGAACUAUUCACAUAAUUAGCAGGACAUUUUUCACACGCUAUAGCAGUCGGCACUUAAGGCUGUAUUUUCUGGGAUGUGCUCAACCACAUCAGCAAGUGAAAAGCAAUUGACCAUAAAAGAACACAGGGAUCAAUUAACUUACGUGAUUACUGCAGGCAAGUCUAAACACAAAGUCUCAAGACCACCAUCCACUUCUCUUUCUACAGUUACUAGUUGUUUCUCCCUGUCAAGCAAAACCUACUAGAUAACAGCAGUGAGUCACUGGAAAAAACUGAACCAGAGAGGGAGGGAGAAACCAAGAAAGAACCCGUGAAAGGGAGAAUAGAAGCCCCAUAUACAACAUCAGCCAGUAAUAACAGCCGACACUUCUUAAACCUAUGAUGAGCUCAAUUUAACAAGGAAAUAUUCAAAUUUAAAACCAAUUGGAUCCUUCCACAUUGACACCAAAACCUUAAAAAGUGGUUCAAGCCCUAAAAUCCCUAAUUCUUUUACAAUCUAGUUCCACAAUAUUUUAUAUAAAUGCAAUAAAGACAACCAAGAUGUUGAAAAUUUGCAGUCUUGUUAAUAAAGGUAAAGUGAUAUUUCUUAAGUUUUGACAGCAAUUAUAAUGAUCAUCCAUUUUAAAAAAUCAGUAGAUCCACUUCAAAAUCUCUCUCACCACUAGAGUUUCUUCUCCAUCAUUGCCUAGUUAUAAGCUUCCCUCUGCACUACUUAUGCAUUACUGAUUCUAUAAGUAUUCGCUUAAAACAUUAAGUAUUGCCAAAUUUACAUGUAUGCAUUAAAGUCAUCAAACUUCUUGUUCUCCUUUGAUUGUGUUGUAAUUGUCCACAAUUGACAUCAUCAGUCUCCUCUAAGAAGAAUUUACACUCCGCUAAACAUUUUGAAAAGUAUGCAAAACCUGCACUAUUCUACCUCUACUCUACAUCAGCUCUCACAGCAAUGCCAUAAGGCUCGCAACAAAACAUAUCUUAAGGCUCGCACAAGAUGCUCAAACAGAUAGAAGCACAAAAACCAUAUCAAUGAAACAGAUGAUAAAAAAAAAAAUGAAAUCAUAAUAGAGGAGAAUCAUAUUCGAGUUUGCCAAAUAAAUGAUAGCAUAUAUCUGACUCACCUUAGAAGCAAAUGUCCCCUGAGGCCAACCUAGCAACCCUGCCACCAUUUGCCCUGUUUGAUUGCAAUCAUCGUCAAUGGCCUGUUUCCCCAUAAUAAUCAGCCGGGGUUUCUCCACUUCCACAAGCGCUUUCAAAACCUUAGCCACAGUAAGCGGAUACAAAGCUCCUGUAGCUUCCACGUGAAUCCCUCUAUCAGCGCCCAUGGCUAGACCGGUUCGCAGCGUAUCAACACACUGCGCCGAACCCAUACUCACAGCGACAACCUCGGAUGCCAAUCCCGCCUCCUUGAUCCGGAGAGCCUCUUCCAAAGCAAUCUCACAAAAUGGGUUCAUUGACAUCUUAACAUUCUGCGUCUCUACUCCGCUCUUGUCGGGUUUUACUCUGAUCUUCACAGCAUAAUCGACGACUCGCUUCACGGCCACAAGUACCUUCAUGGUUGAUGUCUGUCGGGUUCGAUGUAAGGUGAGGCGGAUGAAACGAACAAGCUAGAAUAAGUAGAGCUGUAACUUGAAAACUUUGAAAGAGUUACCAGUCCACAACGCAAAAUACAAG